Hyla sarda is the source of this 528-nucleotide long non-coding RNA. RefSeq lists it as uncharacterized. NCBI's taxonomy places the organism in Eukaryota, Metazoa, Chordata, Amphibia, Anura, Hylidae. The transcript is spliced from 3 exons. The record is from RefSeq and is a predicted model, not a curated record.
UGAAAAAUGAAAGAAGCCAUCUGAUUGGUUGCUAUGGGCAACUGGGCAAGUUUUCCUCUGCACAGACCAUAGAAAAACCACUGAGGCCUGACCAUCUAAGGAACAAGCUGGUGGAGGCGGUCCCAGGUUUUUGAUUCUUCUUGGGGCCCAAUGGCCUCACAUUGCACAAACUAUUCUAAAUUCUAAAUAAUUUUCGCACUAAGGCAGGGUGCAUUAGCCUGCUGAAAGAGAACCCCUGCCAAUGCUGUUGCCAUGAAGGAGCAUACCUGGUCUGGAAAAAUAUUUUCAGGAUAACACGGUGACGCCAUCCCACCAACCCCAUGACGAAUGACAGUAUGGGAAAAAUGUCUGCCAUGGGAGGCCCAGCUGACCUCUACGUGCACUGCUGCCCUACAUAUUCAAUGUUCCGAACAGAUUUUGGAUGGAAAUUUUAGUGUUAUUAAAUUGUGGCUUGGAAGAUUCUUUUCCAGGGAUACUUUGAAGUGCACCGAGACAAAUAUGUAUUCUGAAAUUGUUAUUAAAACUGUU